RNAcentral lists this ribosomal RNA (793 nucleotides) under uncultured bacterium. Its description in RNAcentral is "bacterial SSU rRNA". It matches the Rfam family "Bacterial small subunit ribosomal RNA", at positions 8 to 796 of the family's 1533-position model. The record is from RNAcentral.
AGAGUUUGAUCCUGGCUCAGAAUGAACGCUGGCGGCGUGCUUAACACAUGCAAGUCGGAUGUGCCGCAAGGUGCAUGGCAGACGGGUGAGUAACGCGUAGGGAACCUACCUCUUUGUGGGGAAUAACGUUCCGAAAGGAAUGGUAAUACCGCAUGAGAUCCACGACUGGGAUGUUGUGGAUGAAAGCCGGGGAUCGAAAGACCUGGCGCAAGGAGAGGGUCCUGCGUCUGAUUAGCUAGUUGGUGGGGUAACGGCCUACCAAGGCGACGAUCAGUAGCCGGCCUGAGAGGGUGAUCGGCCACACUGGAACUGAGACACGGUCCAGACUCCUACGGGAGGCAGCAGUGGGGAAUUUUGCGCAAUGGACGAAAGUCUGACGCAGCAACGCCGCGUGGGUGAUGAAGGUCUUCGGAUUGUAAAACCCUGUCGUCAGGGACGAAGGUUGGGAUCCUAAUACGAUUUCAGCUUGACGGUACCUGGAGAGGAAGCCCCGGCUAACUMYGUGCCAGCAGCCGCGGUAAUACRKAGGGGGCAAGCGUUAUCCGGAAUCACUGGGCGUAAAGGGUGCGUAGGUGGCCUAUCAAGUCAGAAGUGAAAGGCAGUGGCUUAACCACUGUAAGCUUUUGAAACKGAUGGGCUUGAGUGCAGGAGAGGUAAGUGGAAUUCCUAGUGUAGCGGUGAAAUGCGUAGAUAUUAGGAGGAACACCAGUGGCGAAGGCGACUUACUGGACUGUUACUGACACUGAGGCACGAAAGCGUGGGGAGCAAACAGGAUUAGAUACCCUGGUAGUCC